UUCAAAUUUGGCAGUCUAGAGAAAUUCAAUAAUUUUCUGGUGUCUCCAUCAGAGAUUUCUGAGCAGUUUAAAAUCCACAUCCUCCAGAGGUGGCAGUGAGCUGUGGGGAGAUCAGCCAGCCCUCAAAUCUCCCAGGAAUGCCAGGGAAGCUAACAGAAGAGCUGAGAGCUCUCCCCUGAGCCUGAGACUCGAGACAGACCAUGGGUCCACCUGGAAAAGGGCUGCACCUUGUUCUUGGGACCUGUCACCCCACACAGAAACUGAUAUAUAACUGACAAACUGCUGCCCAAACAGGGACCUGAGAAUGAAAGUAGUCUUCAAGACUUCAGAAAGGGAAUUCAGUGCUCAGCAGACUGGAGAAGAGUCCUUGGGUAGGUAAGCCCUACCUCCAGGAUUGUUUCAUCAGGGUUACAAUGGGAAACUCUCCAAUAUAUUCAGGUUCUAAAAACUCUGUUGAAGAGCUCGGGGGUAAAAGUGAAACCACAGUCUUUUAUAGAAUUGUUUGCUUUGAUAUGAAAACAUUGUUCCUGGUUUGAAC
This 538-nucleotide long non-coding RNA is filed under the name Chinchilla lanigera (long-tailed chinchilla). Its description in RNAcentral is "lncRNA (ENSCLAG00000023803.1)". Lineage: Eukaryota; Metazoa; Chordata; Mammalia; Rodentia; Chinchillidae. The record is from RNAcentral.